CCUACGGGUGGCAGCAGUGGGGAAUAUUGCACAAUGGGGGAAACCCUGAUGCAGCGACGCCGCGUGAGUGAAGAAGCGUUUCGGCGCGUAAAUCUCUGUCAGCGGGGAAGAAACACGGUUCGCGAGAGCCGCGGACGGUACACGACCAAGAAGCCCCGGCUAACAACGUGCCAGCAGCACCGGUAAUACGCAGGGGGCACGCGCUAUCCGGACGCACUGGGGGUAAAGGGAGCGUGGACGGCGCGACAAGACUGGCGUGAAAGGCCGGGGCCCAACCCCGGGACUGCUCUGGAAACUGGCUGGCUGGAGUACAGGAGAGGUAAGUGGAAUUCGUAGUGUAGCGGUGAAAUGCGUAGAUAUUACGAAGAACUCCAGUGGCGAAGGCGGCAUACUGGACUGUAACUGACGCUGAGGCUCGAAAGCGUGGGGAGCGAACAGGAUUAGAUACCCGUGUAGUC
RNAcentral lists this ribosomal RNA (458 nucleotides) under uncultured bacterium. RNAcentral's name for it is "partial 16S ribosomal RNA". It matches the Rfam family "Bacterial small subunit ribosomal RNA", at positions 338 to 795 of the family's 1533-position model. The record is from RNAcentral.